AUUGCUAGAGUCUGUCAACCCUGACCUCCUGAGACUUUGCCGUGAGAAUAAAAUGAGGCUGUAGAGAAUGUUUCUUCAAAAUAUUUAUUACUCUCCAUCACUGCAUUGGGUGAAGAGGGAAAAGGUGGAUAAAUUAACAUGCCCUACUGUGACUAAGCCAAGGCAAGUAUAACUGAACUCCUCUCGCCCCACAGUCUCCCCAUAUUGAACUUUAGAUUUUAUUUAAUUGAUUUAUAUACUGCUUAAUCACUAAAAACCUCUAAGAGGUUUACAUAUGCUUCUCAGAAACUUCCCUUUUGUUCUUCAUGAAGCACCAUGGACAUGCAUUUAAUAAUAACUGAAGAAGAAGAAGAAUAGCUAUACUUUUGAAAUAUGGUGGGGAAAUACAAAAUUCUCAUUCCUAACUAAUAUUGAAGCAUGCCAUCUCUUCGGGGUUUGCUUAUGAAGCUUUGAUUCACACGGCUUUUGGUCCUUGUUUUUCACAGAACUAAAAAAAGCACCUGAAAAAGGAAUUUGCCUUCCCCCUCGUGGCUCUGCUCAGAUAUUGUUCCCGCUGUUCAUCUCUGACAGAUGUUUUAUGUUCUUUGGAACUCUGUUGGAUCUUCAGGUAGUGCCAACCUUCAGAGCAUCUCAACCUCACAACUUUCACCAUUUUCUUCUCAGGUAUUCCACAAUACUGAACCUCCAGAUCUGUAGCAUAACAAUACGUUUGAGUGUGUAUCAAUGUGGGGUUUUUUUUGGAAACAGAAAGGGUUUGAAAUUGGCUGUGACUCCCUUACGAUGACCUCUGCCUCAUAGUACUCUGCUAGUAUUUUACACCUACCUUUAGGGAUUCUUGCCAAGAAUUGUUGAAUGAUUUUACAGCACUGUUUGUUUUUUGAUCUCUCAUGCUGUGGAAGAUCUUUUCUAUAUACCCCUAUUUUUGUGUAACAAGGCAAGAAGGAAGAAAAAGGGAAGGGAAAGGCCAGAGGUGAUUCUAGAAGUGUUCUAUCUAGGCAACUUUACUCAAGCUAAAGAGAGGUGGUUGAGUAUCUCUGGAUUGUACAUUGCUGAGUGCUCUCUGUGUGAUAAAUGCCUCUCAUAAAUUUAACAAAAAGUCACACAAUCAAAAUAUAUUUGGAACACUAAAUACCACACUGUGUUCUUAUCAGAGUCAUACUAACAAAUUCCUUUUUUAAAAGGCCACAGUGAGCAUUGGAAAACUCAAGAUCUACCCACACUGGAAGAAUGGCAGAUGCAACUGAUAGACUAUAUGCAACUGGCUGAAAUGACUGGCAGAAUCCGUGACCUGGGAGAAGAGAGAAUCGAGGAGGAUUGGAAGAAAUUUAAGAACUACCUACAAAAACAUUGUGAUUUGACUGAAUGCUGAAUAAGAUGCUAGACUAAAUAACUGAGCACCACUUAACUUAGAAGUUUUUAAGAAAAUAAGAAAAACUGUGAAAGUUUAACUCUUUAUGAGAACUAUAAGAUUAUGAAAUAUCGAAGAGAUAUAAGAAUUUAAAUAAGAUGAUAAAUUGCUGACAAAAUGUUAUAAUGAUGAAGGUGGGAGCGGGAGAUGUGAGGAAGUCCAAAGAAAAUGUGAAAUUAUGUUAAGACGAAUGUUAUAUUGUUUAUUACAUUUAUUCCUAUUGUAAAAUCCAAUAAAUUGCUUUAAAAAAAAAAAUAAAUAAAUAAAAGGCCACAGUGAGAUCCCUGUUUGUUCAGCUGCAUGUUAAGCAAAUCUAAUACAUUAUCCAUCUCAGGUUAAUUUAAUUCUAGAUUUUGGCUUGUGCUGUACUUAUUAUAACGCACUCAUCUUCAUGAUGUGUUAUAAUGCACCAGAUAUGCAUCCAAUGGACAUCUGGCUGCCAGAGGCCAAUGGUGAAAGUGAGGGAGACUCAGAACUGUAUUCAGCUAAGUCGUGUUCACAGAAGACCCAUUGAAACGAAUAUGGUGAACUACAAGAAGUUCUGUGAGGAGUAAUUUAAGAAAUAUUGUAAAAAUGGAAAGGGAGAAAUGAUUUGCUUGAAAAUGUAAAGGCAAUAUUAAGUUAAGAAUUGCAGGAGAAAUAAUCAAGACGGAAGGCUAUCAGAGAUGCUGAAGGAAGUCCAAACAAGGACAUAUGUAUAAUAAUUUGUGUGGUAUGUCUUUAAAAUUUUUGUAUGCUAAAAAUUAAUUAAAAAUAUUAUAUAAAAAAAUGAAACGAAUAUAGUAGUUGUGACCAACUUCAAUGGAUCUAAUCUGAGUAGGAAAUACUGUCCACAAUUCAAAUCCCGAUUCAGCAAUGAAGCUCUCAGUGGAUGACGUUGGGUCACUUGCUACCUCUAACCCAGGCAAACCCAUAGGCAAACUCCGGCUCUCCAGAUGUUUGGGACGACAAUUCCCAUCAUCCCUAGCUAACAGGACCGGUGGUCAGGGGUGAUGGGAAUUGUAGUCCCAAACAUCUGGAGGGCCAGAGUUUGCCUAUGCCUGAUCUAACCUUAAUGCACCUCACAGGAUUGUUCUAAAAUAGAGGGGUUGUGUGGUUAUGUAGCCCACUCUCAGGUCUUUGGAGGAAGGUUGGGUUAAAAAGACGAUAAACACAUUUUUAAAGGAAUGCAUUUAUUAUCCCUUCUCACUCUGACCCUCUACUUGCAAAAACCCACCCAGACUGUUGGCUUUGAGCUCAAAGGGUAAUCUGUGCUUCCAAUUUGCCAUAUGUAGUCCUCUGAGAAUAUCAGGUUUCAAGAAAGGAGAUUCCGACUAAACAUUUGGAAAAACUUUCUGACAGUAAGAGCUUCUUCGGCAGUGGAACAGACUCCCACGAGAGGUGGUGGACUCUCCUGCCUUGGAGGUUUUUAAGCAGACUUUGGAUAGUCAUCUGUCAUGGAUGCUUUAGCUGUGAUUCCUGCAUCGCAGGGGGUUGGACUAGAUGACCCUUGGGGUCCCUUCCAACUAUAAGAUUCUAUGGUUCUACUAUCUUUUUCUUGUGAAAUAUACCUGUAGGUUUGCUAGACAGUCUAUUUAAAAAAAAACAAAAAACUUUUAAGCGUUCCUGGGUUGCGUAGACAUGGACCAAUAAAAUCUGCUUCUUCUUGGCAAAAUAAAAUUUUCUGUGUGUACACAUUCACCCAUAACACCCCUCAAAGGACAUGCCUAUAAUAAUGGAACGUAGCUGAACUUAAUGGAAUGAUUGAAUUAAAAAAAAUUGUAUAUUGAGCAUUGGAGGGAGAACAAUAUAAAUAGAGACACAUUUGCCAAGGCUGAGACAUUUCUGCAGUGUGGCAAAGCUGUGUUCCUGUAGUGCUUGAGGAGAAAUGGCAUCUUGAGCUGAUAGUAAAGGACAUAGUGAUGGAUCUCAAGUUCAUAAAAAGUGCAAGCCUAUGGGGUUUAUUGUAGUUCCAAGGUCUGCAGUAUUCCCUAUACACAGUUACAUGCCAUCUAAGAUGAGUGCUACAAACUAACAAUAUGGCUCUUUGCCAUACUCUUGAUAAUGUUCUUGAGAACUACCGUGUCUCGCAUUGGACUCCUUAUCAUAAGGCUCCUGUCCUGCUCCAAAAUAAAAUAAUAUCUAGAUAUUACUUCUACAUCCAAUUCUGGAAAAUGAAAGUAAGUGCUCUAAUUCAUCAAAGGAAAAUCUGCAAAAUGCAUUAGUAUGAACGAAGAACCAGCUUACCUAAGAAUAUAAAUGCAAGAGUUAUUAUCAACCCUUUCCCCACACAUCCAAUUAAAGUAACACCUUAAGCCUUGCUGAAGACCUUGUAUGGCAAGAGACUUCAGAUCAAACCUUCCGAGGCCUCUAGAUGAAAGAUUCCCUCUGAUAAAAAUUAGACGAUAACCAUCCUCGCUUCCUUGCAGGAUAUCUUCAGAAGAAAGGGCUAAGAAGUAAACCCUACGCAAACACCAUGUAGAAUCCCUAAGGUGGUUGGAUAGCAUCUUGUACGCUUCUUUCCAGCAAUUCCUGAAGCCAAGUUGGUGCCAAAUGUACUGCUUUGCUUUCCUUAGGACCAUAUCAACAAGGCCAAGAGUGGGGUCGUAACGUCUGGGCAGCAGUGGUGUAGCGUGAGAGGCAGGGAGGCACAGAGGCAGUUGCCCUGAGUGCAAAAUUGUUAGGGGCACAAAAUCUAAACACCCUGUGUUGCCUCAAUACUGCUGUAUACUUCCGUCACUUAGCUCCAUCGAAAAUGGCUUCCCCAUGUGAACCAGAAAGUGACCGCUCUAGACAAUGGAAUGACUCUUCUUAUCCCUGCAACUGCGAUCUCCUGGGUGAUGCGGAUGCCAUUAGGCAACUGAAUGUGUAUGCAUACUCUGUCCAUUUCCCUCCUUCCAAUCCACACCCUCCCCGGAGCCCUGGCAACCAAUGCUACACCACUGCUGGGCAGUCCAGGCCCUCUCUACACACUGCCCAGGCUUGCACUCCAGAGAGUUUGCUUCCAUGCUGUUAAUGCAGCAAAGACAAUGUGGGAAGCAGCAGUUAGGAGUUAUUAAACUCAGCCUGAUUGGCAUAAGGUAUGAGCACUACAGGUUGCCUUUGUCGGUAGGAGAGAUCACUGUGUCUCACUGGUCAGCUAUUGCCCACCUUAAGCCAGGUAGUCCCAAUCAACCUUACAGAUGAAUGCAGAGCCUGGAGACAGGUUAUGUAUUCACAGCAGGGACCAAAAGAGAAAUGACUGCUGGGAGGGGUACGGAAAGAAGAAACACCAUGAUAUACCAAUGAGUGUUCUUGAUUGCUGUAUCCAUAAAUGACUCUUUGGCAGGAGAUAACUAGCAUCUGGAGAUAACUGCAGUCAGUUAGUAUUAUGGGAUACAUAGAGGUGGACACACGAAGCUCCUUUCAGACCUUUAGGUGGACACACAGAGGUGAGAGACACCUAACAUUUGCGAGAGAUGGAUUGAAAUUUCUCAAAGGAAAUUGUUCUGAAAUAAUUUCUGAGUUAGAGAGUGCCACUUUGUCACAGGAUGUUCACCAGCUUUUUUGUGGGGGUUGGGGACAAAGACACUGUGCUGGUUUACAACCGUUAAUAGUGAACUCAACCCCCCUGGAAUUAAUUGGUGGAGGAUUUCUCUUUCCCUAGAUAAAUUUGAAUGAAAUGGUUCUCUUCCCUAAUCAGUGCCAGAUUUAUGUACAGUGGUACCUCGGGUUACAGACACUUCAGGUUACAGAAUCCGCUAACCCAGAAAUAGUACCUCGGGUUAAGAACUCUGCUUCAGGAUGAGAACAGAAAUUGUGCGGUGGCAGUGGGAGGCCCCAUUAGCUAAAGUGGUACCUCAGGUUAAGAACAGUUUCAGGUUAAGAAUGGACCUCCAGAACGAAUUAAAUUCUUAACCUGAGGUACUACUGUAUAGGCUAAGUAGGCUGAAGCCUAGGACCUCUAAAUCUAGGGGGCCUCACCAGCCUGCCCUCUCCCCAGUGCUGCAGCCUCCCCUCUCCCAAAAUUGUAAACCCAAGACUUCAUGCAAGGGCAGGGCAACUCAGGCCCAGCAGCUAUGAGACUUAGUGCUAGCCAGUGGGGCCCAAUUUUAAGCAGUGGGGUGAAACUUGAAUGGGGUUUUUGUUUUUUGUUUUUUGGGGGUAGGGCCUCAGUUCACGGCCAAAGUCUGCAAAAUCUUACAGAUAUAAACAAAAUCCAUCUAGAUUGCUCUGGUGCCGAGGCCCCCUUAGGAGCAGCACGUGGAGCCCAAUUUGGCCAAAUUACUUCAAUUACCUUAAGGUCAGCCCUGAUCAGACUGUGCAGGGGUUGGACUGACAAACCCUGCACCUUCUAGGUCCCUGGUGUCACUAUUCAGAGUACAGACUCAAGGACUUGUUGUGGAAAUAAAGGGAGGACACUUAUUGGAAAUCAGUUUUGUUACCUCUCCCCCACCCCAAAUCCCAAGAAAAUGAGCCCAGCCACCUUUUAUUCACAGUCGCAUAAGCACUACACUACAGCAUGGCCAUAAACCUGAAUGUUCAACCACUGAAAUAUACACCCAAUAUGUAGCAUUGAAGAUUUAUGUUAUUGCUUUAUGAAUGAACACUGUGUUUUAUGAAUGGACUCUGUAUUUUGUGAAUUACCUAAGAGCCACCAAUAGGGAGCUCUAGAAUCUGAUAGCUAACCAAUUGGGUGCUACCAAACAGCGACCCCUAUUGCUGCAAGCAGGUAACCAGCAGGGAAUGCUUCAGCUCAGCCUUUCCACUGUUGACUGAACAUCCCCUGCUGUGCAGAUAAUGGAGAAAGCUCGUAAAUUGUAUCCCUUCUGGCAUCCUAGCGAACUCUAUUACGUUGGUGUAACCCUGGUGCACCAGAAGCCCAGAAUAGCAGCAAAUAAAAUCUGCUCAUACAUCAGCGUUAGUCUUCCUAAAUUAUAAAGCUCCAAAAUGCAGGCCAAAAUAUAGCAGAUCUGGGAAGAGCAAGGCAUACAAUGGGCACCACCAGUGAAAAGACCCUGCUCCGUGUAGCUCCUGCCCUGUCAUUUGAUAUGGUGCCCACUUGCCCUCCUUCUUGACAUGGAAUGCUGUCUAUUGGAGUUUCCAGGUCUAGUACAAAGACCAUAAGAAGGGAGAACAGGGACCUUGAAGUUCCCAACAGCUGUUAAGCAAGCAAGCACACAGGUCACCUUUGUCACAGUCAGGCCGCUUAUGUCCUGGCCAAGCCUGUACCCAAUCUUGUUUUUGUACAAUCUUGUUUGUCCUCAGUAACCAAAAUUAUAUUAUCAACAUAUACAAGCAGAAAAGUUGUUUUCCUUCAUUUGCAAGGAAUCAUACAAAACAAAGUGGGACUAAUAAAGAAAAGUUCCAGGGUGGUAACAGAAAGCAAACUAAAAAUGCUUUUGCAGUUCAUCAAAACUAUCCAGCAAUAUCAAGUUCUAGGAAAACUGGUGCUAUUAACAGUAAUCCUUCUAGUUGGCUAAUUGGUUCGGCAACUUCCAUGCACAUGACGUGUGAUGCUAAUUAUUUCCCCCAAGAGUUAAAUGAUAACUAAUCAGAGGCAACCACAGUUGCAAAUGGCAACAAAAUAUCUGUGAAAGGAAAAGGAGCAGGUUUGCUCAAGUGUGUUGCAGGUAGAAACACUGUUUGUAAUGAAGUGAGAGCAGUAGUUUACUUGCUCAAAUUAACAAAUAAGAAAGUUUUGAGAAUUUAAAUUCUAGAUUAAAAUUGAUUACUUAAGUGAGAAGGGGAAUGUAACAAAAACACUGGGGCUUAAUUUGAAUAGUAGAGUGCAUGGUAUGUGGAGGUCAAUCUCACCCUUUAUUUCCACACUGUGGCUGCAGACCAAAGGACUCGUCAGGAGAGCUAUGAGAUUCAGGUGAGGGUCAGAUGCCUUGUCAAUCCCUUGUCAGUCCCAGCAAGUAUAUAACAGGAAGACCCGGCCUGCCCAGGGUUUACAAAGUUCCGUUAUCGCAAAAGUUUUUCAGUGUUAAUUUUAUGCAUUUUUAAAAAUCACCAUGGUAUUUAACAAUAAUAUCUUAUAUCCUUUAGAGGUGAAAUUGUGAAUUGCAGAAUUUUAAAUACCCAUCAUCAUCCUUGGCUUCACUCAAUUUUGUUUAUAACACACUUUCAUUUUCUUCUAGUUGUGAGGGUGGGGGAUUGGGAGGGGCUUCACAAGUAGAGUAGCCUAGGGUCUCUCUUCAUCUAAAUCCGGCCCUGCCCCUGAUGCAUUUUUUCUGCCCACAAUUAGGAUGGAGAAUUUUGGGAGACUAUUUGUGCAUAACUCUACUUUUUAUUUCCCCCUCACAUCUGUGUGUUCAGUCUAUGAAUGAGAAAAAUAUCCCAAAGCAGCUAGGAUCAGAGCAGUAGCUUCUUAUUCUGUAAACACUGGUGCUUUUCCUGAUCACUAUUAUGCCUGCUUUCACAUCUAACAAAGUGGCUUCUGACCCUAAAAAGCUUAAACCUGCAAGAAAUCUAUUAGUCUAAGAUACCUCAUGGCUUUCCGUUUGUUGCAGCUGCCAGACUAAAGGGACUACCAUUCUGGGACUGCAUAAAUUAGGGUUUAAGAUACAUUUUUAAAAAAUAAAUAAAUAAAACCAAACAAACCCAGACAUGAAGUAUUAAGUAACUUAGUACUUAAAAGUAUUGAAACAUUUCCAUUAGCCUUCAACUGUAUUGAGUUUCACCUUUCACUUCCAUUCUGCUUCCAACUUUGAAGUUAUUAAUCCUCUCUCUAAAUGAAGUGGCUUUACUGCAUUUGUCAGUAUCUUCAUCUAGGGGAUGAGCCCAUGGAAUGUGAUUGCAUUUUUAAAAAAGCAAUUUUUUAAAAAAUGAUACAUUUAGACUGAAUUGAGAGCCAUCGUUUACAGGUCCAAUCAACAUGAUGCUGUUGCUGGUGAUUAAAAGGGCAACAUUUUAUGCUGCGUUAAUUAAACACAACUAAUUUAAUGUGUCACUUUAUUUAAUUUUCUUAUAAUAUGAGGAUUUGCCACUGCUCAUUAGCAAGGAUUUCUUUAUUUUUGUUAAAUCUAUGGGAGAGAUAUAUCUAUUUUAAAAAUACUUUUCACCCGUCUUUUGUGCCCAAGGUCCUUCAAGGCAGCUAACAAGACAUUAAAAAAAAUUAAAAGCAUCAAACUAAAAAGAAUAUCAAAAAAGUAGCUGAGCUAAUAACAGCUGAGGGGAGAAAGGGACAGCCCAGCAACUAAAUAAAAGAAAAUCUGUCUGGGGGGGGGGGCUCCAAAUGACCCCAGAAAUAAACAGCAUGAUCUUGACCUGUCACCAGAAGGUCCACAAUAAAAGGAUGGAAUGAACCUCCUACAGGAGGGAAUUUCAGAAUUUCUGUAGCACUGUAUAAAAGGCCCUACCCCAGGUAAGCUUCCUCUACACCUUGCAUGGUGAAGGAGCCUACAGCAGGUGUCUGAGGAAGAGCUAAACAAACAGGUAGUCUUGGGCCUUGGGCAAACUCUGGUGCAAUUGAACAAGCAUCCACAAGGCCUGAGUCAAUGAGAUGCUCAAAAAGAGUGUUGUUGUCUAUGUUGUCUAUAAGAAUAAAAGAAAAUUAUUAUAAAUUAAUUUGGAGAUGGCAUUUAAUACCAGUCAGAUUAAAUCAAAUAAACAAGGAAUAUUCUUUGUUAUGUUGGAGAAGAUGCCAGGAAACCGAGAAUUAUGUUCACAUGUGAUGGGGGUGUAAAUAUGUACAAAUUCUCUGGCAAAGGGUGUUUAAGGAGAUAACAGAAAUCACUGAGUUAAAGCUGACCAAAAGUCCAGAGGUAGCAUUAUUAUCAAUUUAUGAUGGGGUGGAAGGCAUGCAGGCAAUGAAGGACUUGCUCACAAAUUUAUUGACAGCUGCACAAGUCAUUCUAGCUAGGAAGUGGAAGGGGCAAGCAGAAUAUAAAAUAGAAGAAUGGUAUAAAGAGGUGUGGGAUAUAGCUAUUAAUGAUAAAUUAACAUGUGCCAUUAAUGUAAGAUGGGGAAUAUGCAGGAGAAAUGAUUUUGAGGAGAUAUGGAUGGUGUUUGUAGAAUUUGUACUGUUAAAAUGGAAAGGGACCAAACCAUCACAAGAGGUGUUGAAAUUUUGGGAGGUUGGAUAGUUAAAAUGGAAUGGUCUCGGUGGUAGGGUGCACAUUGUUAUAUUUGUUUAUGUAUGAUUAUUACUUUGUCAAAAUAAAAUAAUCAUUUUUUUUAUUAAAAAAAAAGAGUGUUGGUAAUAAGCUCCCACAACAGAAAGAUAAGGAUUAAAUAGGCCAGAGGCAGAGGACUUAAUUGAAGAUUAACUGGAGGUCACGUUCCAGAUCAAGAAAGCAGGGCCAGAGAGUCUGCUUGACUACUCCUUGAGAUGACUGAGGAACUGAUUUUUACAUCUUCAUGACUUCUGUCCCUUUCACAAGCUGUGGAGGUACAAGCCUCACUCAGUAAUUGACUAACAUAUUUUAUAAUAUAUAUAUAUAUAUAUAUAUAUAUAUAUAUAUAUAUAUAUAUAUAGCAUGCAAUCUUGCCUAAUAUACCGGUACACGUUUUACGAUUCUACGAUUCUGUUAUUUCCCCACAAUAUAAUGCAGUGUUAUAUUAUUUUCAUUAGAACCAGGGAGAUAAGGAUUCCAAUCUGUACUCAGUCAUGAAGCUCACUGGGUGGCCUUUCAGCCUAACCUACAUCACAGGGUUGUUGUGAGGAUAACAUGAGAGGAGGAAGAACCAUGUGUGCUACCUUGGGCCCCUGCUUUUAAUGGCAGCCCCAAGUUGAGCACAUUAUGGUAAUCUAAUCUGGAGGUUACAUCCAUCUUGUCUGGAUUAAGUUUCAUUUUGUUGGCCCUCAUCCAGGCCAUUACAGUCUCCAGACACACUCUAUUGUUCUCAGAACACCCUGUGUGAUUUGUGAUUACGUAUAGACUUGGGAGAAUGAGGAUCUUAUUAUUCUACUUUUGCUCUGAACACCCAGAAGCUGAAGUGAUUGCAAGAUUUUGAAAGCCAGAAACCCUUUUAAACAAUUAGGCAACAAUCCCUGGACUGCAGCUUCCCCCACUGAACUUUCAGAAACACUUUAAAGUGCCUUUUGAAAGCUGGUUGCAGGAGAAACGUUGCACAUAGAUUAUUACUUACACUUACACCAGCAAGCAGAACUACAUGCUACGAAAAGAUGUGUGACGCCUCACAUCUCCUAAUGUCUCCCCGACAAAAUGAGUCUCCCCACUCCAACUCUACCACAUUGCUCCCACACAGGAAAAAUCAGGAAAAAUCCUACUGACACCUCCUCGUGCAUUUUGCUUCACUGAGGAAGAGAAGAGAUGUUUUGGUGCUGGUUUCACAUCAAACCCAACAAAGAGGAAAUUGUGGCCCCAAUUCAACAGGUAGAAAACCAGCACGCAAAUUGAGAUCUGAACAUCAAAAAACCACAAAACAGUAUAAACCAGUUAUAUACACCAACCUUAUAUCAUAAAUACAAAUAAAUUAAAUGUGACAUGGUGUACCAGGCCAGCUGGCGGACCAACUCUAUUUUACAUUGAUCUCUGCAAACAUGACAUGAAGUCUGGCAACAGCAACCCUGACAUGUGAGACCCUUACAGAUGACCACAGUGCCUGGAGACAGGCAGUCAAGUCAUAUAUCCAUAACAGUGACCAGAGGAGAAACACGGCGGUGUAUCUGCAGCAGCACAACUGGAUGCCUUCAUCUGCCCUAGCUGCAACAAAACAUGUCUCUCCUGCAUCAGUCUCUACAGCCAUAGCAGGUGCUGAAACCUUCCAACAGCUUGCCCUCUCCCCCAAAGGUGCAGUCCUCCAUUGUCUCCCAAGAUAGAUGGAUGCCAACUCAACAACUCAGUUGUGAUGUAACCAAUAAAUAUUCAGGGGGGGGGGGGUUCAAAUAAAACAAUACAAUUAAGCAAAUGCAUUUCAACCAAGGGUCUUUUUCAGUGAUCUCUGAAUGUACACACGAUAUAUAAUAGAGACAAACAAUAUAUCAGUUUGGAUACUCCAUGCAAAAAUAUAAAACUGAGUUACAACACCUGCAAACAUUAAUGAUUAAAAAAUUGCUUUGUAUGACUAGUUCAUACUAUUCAGCUUUCUGGUCUCAUAUCAGCCAUUAUUUGUAGCCACAAAUGAAUGAAAUUUCAUGCUGCCCUGAAUAUCAAAAAUGACUUGAAAGGAUUAAUAAAUCCUUUUAAUAAAUAAGUUCAGUAAAGGAAGAUCUAAGCUCUACUAAAAAUUGUCCAGGAAUGGGAAAGAAAUCGACCACCUUUUUCUGCCUUCCAAGACUAGUGUGGAAUGCUGAGGAAUAAAAAUGCCAGGCUAGCCCUUUCUAAACAUAACAAACAUACUUCUUGUUGUUGUUGUUGUUGUUGUUGUUUUGUCUGUUAUUGGUAAUUCCUUCUUUGCUUCCAUCCCCACUAUUCCACCAUUACAUUUUUAAAAAUAUUUCAAAGUCCUUUCCCCUUGUUUCAUUUGCCAGCUUUGCUUUCAUCUUGUGUAAACUCAUCAUCUUUUGCUUCUCUGUGCAUCAUCUAUACAAUGCAGAGUUGUUACACACCAUGCUUGUAUCAGGAUACAUUCAAUUUUAUUUUAUGUUUUUCAGCUCAGAAACUGCAAAGUCUGAGGAAACAAUUUACAGCUCCAUCACCUUCAUAAUCUAUUUUGCACGAAUAUGGAAGUUUAACCCUAGGCUACAAAAAGAAGUUGAGAUUAACCAAGAAAUGACAGUAGACGUGUCAAGAUCUAAGCAGCCUAAUAUGAAUGCCACAAGACUGGCUAGGCAAGACCUAGAAUAUUAAUGAAUAUUACCUUCCUCUCCUUAAAACAGAAAGGAAAAAAAUAACCACUUUAUUUGGGGCUAAAUCAUGUUGCUGGUUGAUUUGAUGUUUAGCCUGCCCUUCCUCAAUUUUAUUGAUCCCAGAGUUACAUGCUAUUAAGAAAACAAUAAAGCAGCUGUUUUAAUUUUAAUACAGUAAACAAACUAUGCUUCCAUCUGCCCAUCAAAAAGACAUGGACAAGAAUGCUGUCAGACAAGCCUAUCUCUCAAAAUGUUAGCUAUUGAGAUAUAUCCAUGUGCCAGGUUGUAUUCAAAAUAUAUGAGACUACUUGAAUGUUUACAUUUUAUUGCUAUUGCUAUUGCUCUAGUCAUUGCUUUUCCUUUGUUGUAUUUUUUUAAAAGAUGAAGCUAGAUACCAUGCC
Molecule: long non-coding RNA, 12526 nt
Filed under: Podarcis lilfordi (Lilford's wall lizard)
Lineage: Eukaryota; Metazoa; Chordata; Lepidosauria; Squamata; Lacertidae
Source: RNAcentral